AUACGGAGGAUCCGAGAGUUAUCCGGAUUUAUUGGGUUUAAAGGGUGCGCAGGCGGCCAUUUAAGUCAGCGGUUAAAUCGUGGGGCUCAACCCCAUUCUGCCGUUGAUACUGGGUGGCUUGAUUGCGGUCGAGGUUGGCGGAAUUCGUUGUGGAGCGGUGAAAUGCAUAGAUAUGACGAAGAACACCGAUUGCGUAGGCAGCUGACCAGAUCGCAAAUGACGCUCAUGCACGAAAGUGCGGGGAUCGAACAGGAUUGGAUACCCUGGUAGUCCGCACAGUAAACGAUGAAUACUUGUUUUCGGCGAUAUAAUGUCGGAGGCAAAGCGAAAGCGAUAAGUAUUCCACCUGGGGAGUACGCCGGCAACGGUGAAACUCAAAUGAAUUGACGGGG
RNAcentral lists this ribosomal RNA (392 nucleotides) under uncultured bacterium. RNAcentral's name for it is "partial 16S ribosomal RNA". It matches the Rfam family "Bacterial small subunit ribosomal RNA", at positions 523 to 918 of the family's 1533-position model. The record is from RNAcentral.